AAGCAUGUAACGUUAAGUGACAAGUUUGUGAAAAUACUGCCAGUGCCAGAUGCAGCGCGACGCAGCACGGCGAAUCCUUGACAGUAAAUUGAUGCCCCAUUCUAUUUCUGACUCACUCCAGAGAUCUAACACAAAGGACAAUUGGAUUUUCAAUGUUUACUUUGUCUGUCCAGUGUGGUGAAAAGACAAGAACAUGUGACGAGGCAUCUGGCCCUCAGAUUCACCAGUAAAAAGCUUCUUCUGCUGUUUGUCCCAUGACCCCCCGUGCGAGCCUGACACACACCUUGACCUCCACAAAAAUACGAGAGCUUUCAUGCAAUACAAAUAUUAAUGAGCUAAAACGGCCUCAGUAUCAGCUACCUUUUGACAGGUAUGAGAGAUUGCCAGCGUGUGUUCCUUGGGAACUGAACCCAUGAACGCAACUUUGUUAGCGCCAUGCUCUACCAGUCAAACUACAGCAACAAUAUAACUGUUGUUGGGGACUGGUUUCCAUGGAGAGCUGACAUUCUGAGUGUUGAGAGUGGACAUGCAUAAUCGGGAAGGACGGUCUGUACUGGGCAUGUGCGUAGAGAUGUGCAGUGGUUAUUAGCAUGUUUUAACAUUCACAGAGGUCAGACGGUGGCAUUUACCCUAAAUCAUCAUCUGCAGUGCCAGCCACAGUAGUACAGGCAAGGGGCAAGACAAGUGAUUAGCUGCCGGCCUCUGUUAUCACAUAAAUGAAAUAAUACUCACUCUGUGUAAGAGAUACUGUGAUGUGUGACGCUUGAGGAAUUCUUUGUUGUGGG
Molecule: long non-coding RNA, 785 nt
Organism: Cyprinus carpio carpio
Lineage: Eukaryota; Metazoa; Chordata; Actinopteri; Cypriniformes; Cyprinidae
Source: Ensembl